AAGCGUCUUUGCCUCCAACUCUGUGGUAGGCUGGGAAUUAUGCCUGCGCACUCAAAUCCACUCUAUUUCAAUAAUUUUUCAGCUAAGGGGGCUCAACUGAGCAUCGUGACAAUGGAACAAGUAGAUGCUACUCUCAGUGUCCACUAAACCAUAAGUCCUUUGAGGAUACAGGAAGACAUCCACCAAUCUCAAGAUCAAAAUGUGAUAAGAGGAAGUCUGCAAGCAAAGAAGAUGUUACCCACCACCACCUCUUACAGAAAUGGCAGAAUCUCUGGGAAUAAUGGUUUUCACAAAGAAAGCAUUCCUAAUCACUCAGGGGGAACUAGGUCACCACCACAAAUUGUCCUCCAGUUAAAAGCAUGAACUCUUCUGGACACGAAUUCUCUUCUGAGUGUGAGGAUGCCAUGACUGUGAUACAGGGUAAAGUGGGAUGGAGUGCUUAAUCCCCAAGAAAGUCCAUCAGGAAUAGGAGAAGGCCAGUUUAAGAGCAUUUAAUGUUG
Long non-coding RNA from Homo sapiens (human), 500 nucleotides. Ensembl annotates it as long intergenic non-protein coding RNA 2278. Lineage: Eukaryota; Metazoa; Chordata; Mammalia; Primates; Hominidae. The record is from Ensembl.